AGAGGGGUGCCCAGGUUCUGAGGAGACCUGGACGUGGGGGUUGGGGAGGUGUUCCCGGGUGCUAAUGUGCCACAAGACACGGAGGUCGGUAAGGGGUUGGGUGCCGGAGGUCCCCGUUAUGGGGGGGGAUUGGGUGUCCGAGUUCGGGAGUUUGGGGUGGAGACAUGGUGCAGCGUGACGAGGUGGUCACUUAGGGGAAGUGGGAAGUAAGUACCCAAGUUCUGGGGGUCCCCAGCGUAGAGUGAUUGAGUGCAACGUCCAAAUUAUCGGUCGUGUCCAUCCUGGAACGGUUGGGAGGGGUGCACAACUCCUGGGGGUCCUCAGCAUGGGGGGGGCACUGUGGAGAUGGCCCUGAGUGCCCACAAUGGGAGUCCCUUUGGAUUUGGGGUGCGGGGUCCCACGGGGGUACACGGGGCAGGGACAGCCGGGCUCGGCGCAGGCAGGAGCGAUAGGGGGGUCUGGCGGGGCCCCGCUGGGGGCAGCGUGCCCGCGCGCAUUCCGCACAUUCCGGGCCCCCCCACUCAGUGCCACGCGCCCGCCCCACGCGUGAACGCGGACAGAGGAUGGGCGGGGGCGGGGGCGUGGUGGGGCUGCGUGGGUCCGGCUGCCCACACGGGGCCCGCGGUGGGGACACGGAAGCAGCGGGGGUCCGGGUCUCCUCCGGGGUAUGUAGGGGGGGCUCCUCCUGCCGGUCCCGCUGCAGGUGUCCCCCGAUGAGUGACACGUCGCCCCCCGCGGGGUUGGGUUACGGAUAUAAAUACCCGAGGGCGGUGAAACCCGACCGGCAGCGGCGCGCUGGGGACCAAAACCUCUCCGAAAAGCAACAAAAACGAGCCUCGCUGCUGCUGCUCCUGAUGUCGCCGUGCCGCCAGGGAGGGCCCGGCAGCGGCGGCCGUGUGCUGACAUCGGACACUGCGGGGACACGGACAGGGACGGGAGGGGCUGCGCGCCGCACGUGGUGCCAUCACUCGUACACCCACGCGUGGGCGGGGGUCCCGCAAACAGCGUUGCAUGCCCAAAGCCUUCUCCAGCCCCGCGUUCCCCAUCCACCCCAUCUUGCUCUGGGCUAUUUGCAGCCACAUCUCUCCUUCCCCUAGCACUGACUUCUGUCUUUUUCAGUGUCCCUGCAGGAAGGGUUCACCCACACCACCAACUGCCCCCACUGCCCGCAGCAUCCAUCCUGGGGCUGGGCACCAAGAUGCUCUUAAGGCUGAGCUGACCAACCUGCUGCUGGUGGCAUCCUGUGGUCCAUGGCUGCACAUGUUCCCAGAAGGCAAAUGCAACUGUUGAAUCCCCAGUGCUGCUGAUUGUUUAAUUGGUUAAAAAUGCGUUUCCACCUCCUGGAGCGCGGCGAGGCGAGCAAGUGAGCUGCAGAGCCCUGCCAAGUGCCUUCACCUCUGCACAGAGAGUAGGGCCAGGAAGCUGUCAGCCCCAGGAGGUGGCUGUAAAGUGCGUCAGGCAGCGUGUCAGGACAGCUGAGCUGGAUGGAGGAGCUGCACAGGCCAUCACCACGCUGGGGACGUGUGGCACUGGGGCACCAGAGUCUGGAGCUGAGGCACAGCAUAGAUGGAAGAGGCACAUCCAUGGGUCCCCAUUUCUGUCCACACAGAUGCUCCAAAGGCUGCUCCAUCCCUGCCAUGAGGGGAACAUCUCCAAAAGGUUGAGGCUGCUCUGGCCAAGAGUUCUCAGGCCACUGCAUGAGUGCCACACAGGGAUGGAUGCACACAGUGACCUCUGUGCUAUGGGCUUCAUGUGCUGCAGUUGUCAGGGUAACCUGAAGGACUCCUUGUUUGUGUUCAGGUUUUGCAUGCCAACAAUGGGGGGGAAAAAAUGAGCAGAAUCAAAGAUUGUGAAGAAAAAAGCAUGGGUUAUGUGGCAGCUGUGCUGAUCCUCGGGUUCAGAUCAGAUUCAGGCAGGGGUGUGCAGCAAGGGCAGGGAUUUGAUGUCCCCAUGGAAGAGCCACUAGCAUGUCUCCAUGCCCAGAGUGAAGGAGGGUCCCCACCUCUGUCUGUAGGGCCAUGUCCAAGUUUCUUCUGUGGCUCUUCCUGAGGGGUAUCCCCAAGGAAUACUCUUCCUUGGGGUGCUGCCAUGAGUCCCAGCUAUCAGCUGUGAUGUGCUGGGGCACUGUGGGUCUGCAGGGGGUGAUUGUGCUGGAGCUGGGCUGCAUGGAACAGGGGGCUGUGAUCCCAGUGCUGAAGAAAAGUCAGCAAAGGUCAGCAGGAGCCACUGAGAAUAUAAACCCCCAGUGUCCACUGUGGGUGUUGCUGGCCCUGCAGCACACUGAAGUGUUGGUGUCACCAGACCAGUGGUUCUACCAGCACCAGUGGUGCUGCAAGCCCCAGGGUUUCACCAGCCUCACAGGUGCCACUAGUCUAAGGUGCCACCUGCCUCACUGGUGACAUCAGUCCUAUUGCUGUUACCUGUCAUGACGCUGCCACCAGCUCUGGUGGUGCUACCAGCUUUAUUGAGGCUCCCAGCCCCAUCGGUGCCACCAACCCUGUUGGGGCCACCAGCCUCAUUGAUGCCACCUGUUGUGGUACCACCAGCCACUGUGAUGCUGUGACCAGUCACAUUAGUGACACCAACCUCUUCAAGCCACUGGCCCCAUUGGUGCCACAGUCCCAGUGGUGUCACUGCAGUGCAUGCAUCCCUGCGCCACUUUCUCAGCUGCAGGCACCCAUCCUCACUUGGCCCCAGGCCUGGCAGGCUCGUGGCACUUUCUUGGAUAGCACAGCUCCCGCUCAGCCCAGGACUGAUCUCCCAGGGUUAUUUCUGAAUCACAGGACAGGAAGCGUUUAGAGGUUUAAGCCGAGAUGAAUAAUGUGCUCAUUUCCUUGUGCCGACUACAAAGCACCUGCUCCGGGGGAUUUAUGGAGUGCCACUCUCUCGCACUCGCGGCACUGCUGCCCACCCGGAUGUUAUUAUUUUCCUGGGUUGGCUGGUGGGUGCCAAGGCCUGUUUUCCCAAACACUGCACACCAUCCCAUCACGCUGCUUAGGAAAAGUGGCUGAGGGCAGCAGUGGGGCACACCGGGGUACCCCCUGGUGCUAGAAUGCGGCCCCAGGCAGGGUAGGGUGCCAGCAGCUGUAGGGUGGGAGCAUUGCAGGAGGAGAUGAUGUCUCCAGGGUGUGAUGCUGGAUGGGGUGGCACAGGUAGAGCAGGGCUGCAGAUGCAUCAAUAUCUGCCCUCUGUGGGCAACUGUGGCAAAGGAGAACCAGGGGUGCGUGCAGACACCGCUGGAAUAAACAGGCUGGAGAGAGCAUGGGAGAAAGGGAUGGAGCAUGCUGGAGAGGGAUGGACCAUGGUGGAGAGGAAUGGAGCUUGUUGGAGUGGGAUGAAGCAUGAGGACAAGGAAUGGAGUAUGAUAGAGAGGAUGGACAGUGUGGGAGAGGAAUGGAGCGUGUGGAAGAGAGAUGGAGCAUAUUGAAGAGGAAUGGGCUGUGAGAGUGAGUGGAUGGGGGGCUGUGAGAGUGAUGGAGGGGGGUGGACCACAGUGUUGAAAAAGGAUGGACUGUGAUGGAGAAGAACAGACAAUGAGAACAAGAAUGGAAUGUGAAGACAAGGAUGGAGCGCAAUGGAGGAAGACUGACCAUCACAAAGAGGCAUGCAGCAUGAGGGUGAGCAAGAAAACAUGAGACCAUGAAAGAGAGGCAGUGGAGCACUGGGAGCACCAGGGAGCAUCACAGUCUGCCUGGGAGUGUGCUGGGGGGCUCAGUGUGCAGUGUGAGGUGUCCCAGAUAACAGAGCCCAGCCUGAACACCAGCCCUAGGCAGCCUGUGAAUAAUGUGACAUCGAGGUAUUGAUCAUGCCCCCUCCACUUUGUCCUCUUUCUGGAGCAGCAGCUGCAGUUGCUUUGGUCCUGCAGGAACCAAGCUGACACUGACCCAGCUGGGCCCAGAGAUAAGUUGGGUCAGGCUUUUUUUCUUUUUUUCUUUUUUGCUGUUUGUAGAGAAAAUAAAGUGCUUGUGGGGAGCAGGAGCCAAGCUCCCCAGUGCCUAAAACAGCAAUCGCAGCACUUCCUUGGAUUUAUGGUGUUUGCUUUCACAAUGCCAGCCGGGAUCCUGUUUGCUUCCUGCUCUGCAGCUGCAGCCUGAGCUGAAGGCUCAGGAGAUUCAGGUUUUAUAACACUCCUGGAUCCUGCCGAUGGCAACUUGUCCAUCAUCUUUUAUGACCCACGCACCUCCUGUGAGGCUGGGCUGGGCUGUUGCCACCCCAUCCCAUUGCCCACCUCCGGCUGCUCCUGGCAAUGGGGUCCCCUUCCCAGCACCAGGCACUGUGCGCAGGCAUUGAGCUGCACCAGCAUGGGCAGGAUGUUGAGACACAGAUGUCACCUCCUCCUGCAAUGUCCUGGGAUGCUCAGGGCUGAUGGCAAACACCAGAACUGGCCACCCCACGUGUCCUCGUGGACAGAGCAGGGUUGCACCACACCACUGCAUCCCACUACCCAAACUGCGGCUUCUGAGUGCUCUGUCCCAUCCACUGCCCUUAGAGCCCGGAUCCCAGCUGUAGGAGCUGGGCCACCCCACACCUGCUCCCCAUAUUUUUGGUGUCCCUCUGUGAGCCAACCAUCGGGGCCUCCAAAUAAAAACACAACUUUUGUUUAACGUU
Non-coding RNA from Coturnix japonica (Japanese quail), 4608 nucleotides. Lineage: Eukaryota; Metazoa; Chordata; Aves; Galliformes; Phasianidae. The record is from RefSeq and is a predicted model, not a curated record.